UUGAACGCUGGCGGCAUGCCUUACACCUGCAAGUCGCACGGCAGCACGGGUGCUUGCACCUGGUGGCGAGUGGCGAACGGGUGAGUAAUACAUCGGAACAUGUCCUGUAGUGGGGGAUAGCCCGGCGAAAGCCGGAUUAAUACCGCAUACGAGCUACGGAUGAAAGCGGGGGACCUUCGGGCCUCGCGCUAUAGGGUUGGCCGAUGGCUGAUUAGCUAGUUGGUGGGGUAAAGGCCUACCAAGGCGACGAUCAGUAGCUGGUCUGAGAGGACGACCAGCCACACUGGGACUGAGACACGGCCCAGACUCCUACGGGAGGCAGCAGUGGGGAAUUUUGGACAAUGGGCGAAAGCCUGAUCCAGCAAUGCCGCGUGUGUGAAGAAGGCCUUCGGGUUGUAAAGCACUUUUGUCCGGAAAGAAAUCCUUGGCCCUAAUACGGUCGGGGGAUGACGGUACCGGAAGAAUAAGCACCGGCUAACUACGUG
This 485-nucleotide ribosomal RNA is filed under the name uncultured bacterium. Its description in RNAcentral is "partial 16S ribosomal RNA". It matches the Rfam family "Bacterial small subunit ribosomal RNA", at positions 30 to 507 of the family's 1533-position model. The record is from RNAcentral.